AACGCCGCCAUAUUUGAAAACAGGCCUUUGUCUUUGUCACUGCUGUCAUUUUCCUUCCCACCUCCCAUUUUCCUUCGAGUUUCCAAGAGUAGUAAACCAAAAAAGAAGAGAGUUUCCGGUGUGCUCCGUAAAAUGGCGAAUAAGAGAAACAGAAACCUACAAAUCAGAGAUUGAUGUCUUUGUGAAAGCCAAUCUCUCUGCCUUUUUGUUUUGUACGAUCAAAG
This 224-nucleotide unclassified non-coding RNA is filed under the name Hevea brasiliensis (rubber tree). Lineage: Eukaryota; Viridiplantae; Streptophyta; Magnoliopsida; Malpighiales; Euphorbiaceae. The record is from RNAcentral.